RNAcentral lists this long non-coding RNA (267 nucleotides) under Nicotiana benthamiana. Its description in RNAcentral is "long non-coding RNA (NBEN_LNC040283)". The record is from RNAcentral. Lineage: Eukaryota; Viridiplantae; Streptophyta; Magnoliopsida; Solanales; Solanaceae.
ACAACUCUAAGUAUGUUCGAUCAUAGUCAUGUUAUAGGUGUAAAUCAUCUUUACCCUUUUCACUUCUCCUAGUAGAAAAAAGUUAUCAAGUUUAUGCACAUGUUAUGUCAUGGGCUCCUUUCCAUACACGCCAUAUGACCCCUUGGUCGCGCCCCAUGGCGACCUAGCAAGCUUCACAAUGCCUAGCGCCAUGGACGGCCCCGUGGUCUUGGCUGCGCCAAGUGACAAGCGCCCAUGCGCCUCUGUCGCCCCAUCGAUGCAUCACGC